AGCAGUCGCCACGGGAAUACGUAGGUGGCAAGCGUUGUCCGGAAUUAUUGGGCGUAAAGGGCUCGCAGGCGGUUUCUUAAGUCUGAUGUGAAAGCCCCCGGCUCAACCGGGGAGGGUCAUUGGAAACUGGGAAACUUGAGUGCAGAAGAGGAGAGUGGAAUUCCACGUGUAGCGGUGAAAUGCGUAGAGAUGUGGUGGAACACCAGUGGCGAAGGCGACUCUCUGGUCUGUAACUGACGCUGAGGAGCGAAAGCGUGGGGAGCGAACAGGAUUAGAUACCCCUGUAGUCCCUGUCUCUUAUAC
This 303-nucleotide ribosomal RNA is filed under the name uncultured bacterium. RNAcentral's name for it is "partial 16S ribosomal RNA". It matches the Rfam family "Bacterial small subunit ribosomal RNA", at positions 507 to 807 of the family's 1533-position model. The record is from RNAcentral.